CCAUAUGAAUUAAAAGUUAAAAUGGAGGGUUGUACGUUAGAGGGGAAUCUCUGGGAUCAGGUGUUCUGAAGUCUGAACCUCUCAAGUACCUCAGAAAUGGGGAAAGAGAGGGAAAUUGGGAUAAAAAGGAGGUUGUGUCCUCCAAAAAUCUGGAAUUCUUUGCCAGGAGGGCACAGCCAGGGGGAUUUGGGAUCUGCUCCAGGGAACAGGGACAGGAGGAGAGGGAACGGCCUCAGGCUGGCCCAGGGCAGCUCAGGGUGGAUUUUGGAGUAUUGGAGAUUGGAUUUUGGGAACAUUUCCUGCCCAUCCCAGCAAAUUCCCACUUUGCUGCUGGUGGGAUUUACGUGUGGACCAUGAGGAGCCUGGGGAUGCUGAGUGCAACCAUUUCCUGCCCUUUUCCAGCAGGUAUCCAUGGAAUCCAGCCUGUCCUGCAGGGUCCUGGGGCAGGUGCCCAUCCCUGCCCACCUGCUCCAAGGAGCAUCAGCCCCACGCAGAUUGACCUCCCUGCUGUUGGAGUUUUCCUCUCUCUGAAGACAGAACCCAAAGGCUUCUUUGGUGAAAUCUUAAAUUUUUUAUAUAUUUGUCAUUAUUUAAGGUUUAUUAUCCCAUGGGUUAUUUGGAGAACCAUCCUUGACAGAAUUCCUGCCCCAUUCCCAGCAAGGGCUGCAUUCCAAUGGGAAUUGGAUCACAAUUCCAUGGGAAUUGGAGCUCCCAGGGUAACACAGGACUGUUCCCUCAUUUCUUCCUCCUUUGGGAGCAGAUUCUAUGUGAAUGUCCAUUCCUCUGGUUGAAAUUCCAAGGAUAUAAUUCCAAAAGGUGACUUUGGGCUGGAUUCAUCUUUUUUUAGUGCGUGAUUUAGCAAGUGCUGGAAAUUCUCCUCCGUGCUCGUGCAGCCUCCACUUCCAAAAUAUCCUGGAAAAAGCCUGGAAUGCAGUGCAGCAUCCCAGCUCUGCCAGGAGCAGGGCUGUGUGGGAAGUGUUGUGCAGAAACACAGCCACUCCUGAAUGGAGUGGGGAAGGGGAAUAAAACCCAGGAGGUUUGUGCUGCUGGAAAUGAC
This 1057-nucleotide long non-coding RNA is filed under the name Zonotrichia albicollis (white-throated sparrow). RNAcentral's name for it is "lncRNA (ENSZALG00000009699.1)". The record is from RNAcentral. Lineage: Eukaryota; Metazoa; Chordata; Aves; Passeriformes; Passerellidae.